Molecule: ribosomal RNA, 253 nt
Filed under: uncultured bacterium
Lineage: Bacteria
Description: partial 16S ribosomal RNA
Rfam family: Bacterial small subunit ribosomal RNA
Source: RNAcentral
UACAGAGGUGCCAAGCGUUAGGCGGAAUCACUGGGCUUAAAGCGUGUGUAGGCGGAAUGGUAAGUACCUUGUGAAAUCCCACGGCUCAACCGUGGAACUGCUCGGUAUACUGCUUUUCUUGAGCCACGUAGGGGCUGUCGGAACAAACGGUGGAGCGGUGAAAUGCGUAGAUAUCGUUUGGAACGCCAAAGGUGAAAACAGACAGCUGGGAGUGUGCUGACGCUGAGACACGAAAGCCAGGGGAGCGAACGGG